AGAGUUUGAUCAUGGCUCAGGACGAACGCUGACGGUGUGCUUUAGACAUGCAAGUCGAACGAGAAAGCCCUUCGGGGUGAGUACAGUGGCGAACGGGUGAGUAACACGUGGGUAACCUGCCCCUCGCAGGGGGACAACCGGGGGAAACCCCGGCUAAUACCCCGUACGCUCCGAGGGUCGCAUGGCCUUCGGAGGAAAGGUAGCUUCGGCCAUCCGGCGAGGGAUGGGCCCGCGGUCCAUUAGCUAGUUGGUGGGGUAACGGCCCACCAAGGCGACGAUGGAUAGCUGGUCUGAGAGGACGAUCAGCCACACUGGGACUGAGACACGGCCCAGACUCCUACGGGAGGCAGCAGUCGGGAAUCUUGCGCAAUGGGCGAAAGCCUGACGCAGCAACACCGUGUGGGUGACGAAGGCCUUCGGGUCGUAAAGCCCUGUUGUUGGGGACGAAGGGCAAAGGGUUAAUAGCCCCUAGCUUGACGGUACCCUUCGAGGAAGCCCCGGCUAACUACGUGCCAGCAGCCGCGGUAAUACGUAGGGGGCGAGCGUUGUCCGGAAUUAUUGGGCGUAAAGAGCGUGUAGGCGGUUCGGUAAGUCUGCCGUGAAAACCUGGGGCUCAACCCCGGGCGUGCGGUGGAUACUGCCGGGCUAGAGGGUGGUAGAGGCGAGUGGAAUUCCCGGUGUAGCGGUGAAAUGCGCAGAUAUCGGGAGGAACACCAGUAGCGAAGGCGGCUCGCUGGGCCAUUCCUGACGCUGAGACGCGAAAGCUAGGGGAGCGAACAGGAUUAGAUACCCUAGUAGUCC
Molecule: ribosomal RNA, 801 nt
Filed under: uncultured bacterium
Lineage: Bacteria
Description: bacterial SSU rRNA
Rfam family: Bacterial small subunit ribosomal RNA
Source: RNAcentral